RNAcentral lists this ribosomal RNA (422 nucleotides) under Panaspis thomensis. RNAcentral describes it as "partial 16S ribosomal RNA". It matches the Rfam family "Bacterial large subunit ribosomal RNA", at positions 1928 to 2575 of the family's 2925-position model. Lineage: Eukaryota; Metazoa; Chordata; Lepidosauria; Squamata; Scincidae. The record is from RNAcentral.
CGGCCGCGGUAUCCUAACCGUGCAAAGGUAGCGUAAUCACUUGUCUCUUAAAUAGGGACUUGUAUGAAUGGCUAAAUGAAGAUAACACUGUCUCCUUUAAUUAACCAGUGAAACUGAUCUCCAAGUACAAAAGCUUGGAUAAAAACACAAGACGAGAAGACCCUGUGGAGCUUAAAACAACACUAUUAUAGCUCUGUUUUAAGUUGGGGCAACUUCGGAGAAAACAAAAACCUCCGAGCAAGGAUCUAAUAUCCGGCCAACAAGCCAAAGAAACACUACUGACCCAGUCUAACUGAAUAACGGACCAAGUUACCCCAGGGAUAACAGCGCUAUCUUCUUCAAGAGUUCCCAUCGACAAGAAGGUUUACGACCUCGAUGUUGGAUCAGGACACCCAAAUGGUGCAGCAGCUAUUAACGGUUCG